This 956-nucleotide non-coding RNA is filed under the name Pethia stoliczkana. Its description in RNAcentral is "12S ribosomal RNA". It matches the Rfam family "Bacterial small subunit ribosomal RNA". Lineage: Eukaryota; Metazoa; Chordata; Actinopteri; Cypriniformes; Cyprinidae. The record is from RNAcentral.
CAAAGGCAUGGUCCCGGCCUUACCAUCAGCUCUAGCCCGAUUUACACAUGCAAGUCUCCGCAGCCCAGUGAAUAUACCCUCAAUCUCCCACCCGGAGACAAGGAGUAGGCAUCAGGCACACACAUUUUAGCCCAAAACGCCCAGCUAAGCCACACCCCCAAGGGAAUUCAGCAGUGAUAAACAUUAAGCCAUAAGUGAAAACUUGACUCAGUUAGCACUAAGAGGGCCGGUAAAACUCGUGCCAGCCACCGCGGUUAGACGAGAGGCCCUAGUUGAUAAUUUAACGGCGUAAAGGGUGGUUAGGAGUAACAAAUUUUUUUAAAGCCAAAUGGCCCCUUGGCCGUCAUACGCUUCUAGGCGUCCGAAGCCCUACACAUGAAAGUAGCUCUAAUACACAUCCGACCCCACGAAAGCUAAGAAACAAACUGGGAUUAGAUACCCCACUAUGCUUAGCCGUAAACUUAGACAUUCAAAUACAAUAAAUGUCCGCCAGGGUACUACGAGCACUAGCUUAAAACCCAAAGGACCUGACGGUGUCUCAGAUCCAUCUAGAGGAGCCUGUUCUAAAACCGAUAACCCCCGUUCAACCUCACCACUUCUAGCUAUAACAGCCUAUAUACCGCCGUCGUCAGCUUACCCUGUGAAGGAAAAAAAGUAAGCAGAAUGGGUACAACCCAGAACGUCAGGUCGAGGUGUAGCGCAUGAAGUGGGAAGAAAUGGGCUACAUUUUCUACCACAGAAUACUACGAAUAUGCACUAUGAAACAGUACUUAAAGGAGGAUUUAACAGUAAGAGGGAAAUAGAGUGUCCCCCUGAACCCGGCUCUGAGACGCGUACACACCGCCCGUCACUCUCCCCACUAAAAUGCACCACUAAAUACUUAAUACAAUAGCAAUAACAAGGGGAGGCAAGUCGUAACACGGUAAGUGUACCGGAAGGUGCACUUGGACCAAAUC